Molecule: ribosomal RNA, 208 nt
Filed under: uncultured bacterium
Lineage: Bacteria
Description: partial 16S ribosomal RNA
Rfam family: Bacterial small subunit ribosomal RNA
Source: RNAcentral
CGCGUAGGCGGCCUGUUAAGUCGAACGUGAAAUCCCCGGGCUCAACCCGGGAACUGCGUCCGAUACUGGCAGGCUUGAAUUCGGGAGAGGGAUGCGGAAUUCCAGGUGUAGCGGUGAAAUGCGUAGAUAUCUGGAGGAACACCGGUGGCGAAGGCGGCAUCCUGGACCGAGAUUGACGCUGAGGCGCGAAAGCCAGGGGAAGCAAACG